RNAcentral lists this ribosomal RNA (275 nucleotides) under uncultured bacterium. Its description in RNAcentral is "partial 16S ribosomal RNA". It matches the Rfam family "Bacterial small subunit ribosomal RNA", at positions 399 to 691 of the family's 1533-position model. The record is from RNAcentral.
GCGUGAGUGAUGAAGGUCUUCGGAUUGUAAAACUCUUUCGCCGGGGAAGAUAAUGACGGUACCCGGAGAAGAAGCUCCGGCUAACUUCGUGCCAGCAGCCGCGGUAAUACGAAGGGAGCUAGCGUUGUUCGGAAUUACUGGGCGUAAAGCGCACGUAGGCGGAUUUUUAAGUCAGGGGUGAAAUCCCAAGGCUCAACCUUGGAACUGCCUUUGAUACUGGAAGUCUCGAGAUCGGGAGAGGUGAGUGGAAUUCCUAGUGUAGAGGUGAAAUUCGU